Molecule: ribosomal RNA, 253 nt
Filed under: uncultured bacterium
Lineage: Bacteria
Description: partial 16S ribosomal RNA
Rfam family: Bacterial small subunit ribosomal RNA
Source: RNAcentral
UACGUAGGGGGCUAGCGUUGUCCGGAAUCAUUGGGCGUAAAGAGCGUGUAGGCGGCCCGGUAAGUCCGCUGUGAAAGUCGGGGGCUCAACCCUCGAAUGCCGGUGGAUACUGUCGGGCUAGAGUGCGGAAGAGGCGAGUGGAAUUCCAGGUGUAGCGGUGAAAUGCGUAGAUAUCUGGAGGAACACCGGUGGCGAAGGCGGCAUCCUGGACCAUGACUGACGCUGAGGAGCGAAAGCCAGGGGAGCAAACGGG